Molecule: long non-coding RNA, 756 nt
Filed under: Musa acuminata (dwarf banana)
Lineage: Eukaryota; Viridiplantae; Streptophyta; Magnoliopsida; Zingiberales; Musaceae
Description: long non-coding RNA (MACU_LNC010036)
Source: RNAcentral
UUGCCAUUUCCUCCGCAUUCUGCUCCAUCCGAACCAUCUCAAACCAACUUCUCACAAAUAUAUCAUCGCCUCGCUUCUCUCUCGGAAGAGUUGAACGCCGAGUGAGAGAGAGAGCGAGAGAGAGAUAUGGGAGACGAGGGAGCGCACAAAGAGACGAGGAGGACCAAGGACGACGAGGGAUUUCCUCCGGGAGGCGUCCACUUCAUCCACCCCCGAAACGAGGUGUACCUGCUUCUGGUGGUGAGCAGCACCGUUCUGGUGCUCCUCAGCGUCGCCGCCAUCUCGGUUUGGUUCGUCGAGGGGCGUAGGGACGAGGCCUACCGAUGGAUGGCACUGUACUCCAUGGCCGUUCUAUGCUUGGUGGCCUCGCUCUGGAUCUUCCGCCUCAUCCGUCUCCUCGUCCACUUCUUGCACUUCUAUCCUCGUCCCAGGCGUGCGCAGGUCCUCGUCAACCCGGAUAUCACCUCCCCCAUCAGCGACUGAGAAACUUUGGAGUUCCGACCCAGUUCUUCCUUCAUAAGCUUCGCUGGCUAUUUCCAUGUCUUCAGCUCUAUACAUACACUUCUUCUCUUACUCUAAAGCAGUCCACUCAAAAGUACAGAUCAUAUCUCUACUGUAAUGAGACUAUGAAGGUGCUGUAACAUGCUCUUAUCUUGCUUUGCUUGUAAGUAUUUGCUUAAUUGACUUAGAUGGUGCAGGCUACUUGUGCUCUACAAAGUACUUCAUAGACUCAAAAGUGUCACAUUUGGAACAAAA